Molecule: long non-coding RNA, 1363 nt
Filed under: Gossypium barbadense (sea-island cotton)
Lineage: Eukaryota; Viridiplantae; Streptophyta; Magnoliopsida; Malvales; Malvaceae
Description: long non-coding RNA (GBAR_LNC016917)
Source: RNAcentral
UCAGCAAAUCCAAAAUAAAUAUAAUAUAUUAAACAUCAAGCUUAUGCACAAUAAAAUCAUAUUAUACUAAAAAUAUAAUAUCAAAAUUUAAUUAAAAACAUACAUAUGAAGCUGUAAGGCCCAAUAUUUGCCCGGCCUUUAAUAAAAAUAUAUAUCAAAUCAAAAUAAAAAUAAAAACAAAUUUUUAUGUCCAUUAACAUUGCCCAAACGUAAACUCGAUUCUAAACCCAAUACAAUACCAAUACACCACCUAAUUACAAAAUCCAACUACAAAAUAGCCCAAACCCGAAUUCCCUAAUGCUCAACCUAAUCAGCCCAAUGCCGAAUCUAACCUCAAUCAGGAAACCCUAGCCUUCAACAGCUUUCGGCUCCAGCUGCCUCACGAGGAAGCUGGGUUCGUUCGUGCGUGUGCCACAAUAUCCAACUCCUCCACGCGCGUCUUUUCCUGGCCUCGCACUUGCAACAACUCGCAGCAAACACAUAGCGACAAACAAUAACAGAAAACACAGCAGAAAAGAGAAAAUUUGAGGGAUUUCUCUGUAUUUUUAUUUUUUAUUGUUAUUCUUUUAUUUUUGGCUGUAAAAAGCCAAUUGUAACACUGAAAGGGGGAUCUUUUUUUUAAAAAAAAAUUGAAUAGAGAAAGCAAAAAAGUUUCAGAGAAGCAAAAAAAGCAAAAACUCCAAAGGUGAUUGCAAUGUUCCUUUUUUUCUCUGGUUUAUUCUUUUCUAUUUAUUUAUUCAGCAAUUAUGUAAAAAAAAAAGGGGAGGAAUAAGAGAGGAGAAGGAAAACUUACCAUCGGGGGGCACCAAUGAAGCCCUCCCUCCGAGCAAAACGGAGUUAAACGGGCAGAGGUGAAGGUGAAGCGGCAGAAGAAGGGAAGCUGAAGGCUGUGCUCUCCGUUCUUCUGCGAGUUUGAGAGGAAUUUUACCUUUGCGUGCCGUUGUAGCCAUCUUCUACUCUAUCCGAAUCGGAAUGAGAGAGAGGAGAGCCCAGGCUUUCAAGGUGGCGGAUAAGGGAGGGGCAUCGUUUAGGGUUUAUUCCCUUGUUGUUGUUUUUUUUUUCUGACUGAAUGAACCUUGUUUAGGGUUUUUUUAUUUAUACCAUUCAUCCAAGCGGCACCGUUUUGUCGGCUACUGACCCGCGUGGUGACCCGAUUCAGGGAAGGAUCCGCGCACUUUGGGCGUUUGGUCUAUUUGCGCAUACGGUCCCCUUGGUUUUAUAAUUUAUCUCUAAAUCAUUUUAUCUAUUUCGCCUUAUUUUAUUUUAUUUUUGAAUUACAUCAAGCAUUUUAUUUUUAUAGCGUUCUAGUCCAACGUAGCACUGCGCAUAAAGGUUAUUAGGAUAUUUUCUAUUUAGAUCCUUG